RNAcentral lists this ribosomal RNA (468 nucleotides) under uncultured bacterium. RNAcentral's name for it is "partial 16S ribosomal RNA". It matches the Rfam family "Bacterial small subunit ribosomal RNA", at positions 28 to 507 of the family's 1533-position model. The record is from RNAcentral.
GACGAACGCUGGCGGCGUGCUUAACACAUGCAAGUCGAACGGAAAGGCCCUCCUUUUCUUGUGUGCUCGAGUGGCUAACGUGUGAGUAACACGUGAGUCACCUGCCCUUUCCUCUGGCAUCAUUUCAGUAAACUUGGGCUACUACCGCUUAUUCGCUCCUGCUCCAUGGUGUGGUUCGUAUAGUUUCGGCGGUUGGGGUUGGACUCGCGGCUUAUCAGCCUGCGUGUGGGCUAGUGGCUUGCCAAGGCUGGGACGGGUGGCCGGCCUGAGAGGGUGGCCGGGCACAUUGGGCCAGAGAUACGGCCCAGACUCCUACGGGAAGCAGCAGUGGGGAGGAUUACACAAUGGGCGGAAGCCUGAUGCAGGAACGACGGGUGCGGGAUGACGGACUUCGGGUGGUAAACCGCUUGCGCCUGUGAUGAAGGGUGAGUGACGGUAAUGGGUAAAGAAGCACCGGCUAACUACGUG